GCUUAUCUGGUUGAUCCUGCCAGUAGUCAUACGCUCGUCUCAAAGAUUAAGCCAAGCAUGUGGAAGUAUAAAUAUUUGACUUUGAAACUGCGAAUGGCUCAUUUUAUCAGUUAUAGUUUAUUUGAUGAACAAUACUACUUGGAUAACCGUAGUAAUUCUAGAGCUAAUACAUGACAAAAUCCUCGACUUUGAAGAGGUGUAUUUAUUAGAAUGAAACCAAGAGACUUCGGUCUAUUUGUGAGUAAUAAUAACUAAUCGUAUCGCAUGCUUAGGUAGCGAUAUGUCUUUCAAGUUUCUGCCCUAUCAGCUUUGGAUGGUAGUGUGUUGGACUACCAUGGCAGUAACGGGUAACGAAGAAUUUGGGUUCGAUUUCGGAGAGGGAGCCUGAGAGAUGGCUACCACAUCCAAGGAAGGCAGCAGGCGCGUAAAUUACCCAAUCCUGACAUAGGGAGGUAGUGACAAUAAAUCACAAUGCGGAACUAUUAGUUUUGCAAUAGGAUUGAGAACAAUGUACAAAUGUUAUCGAUAAACAAUUGGAGGGCAAGUCUGGUGCCAGCAGCCGCGGUAAUUCCAGCUCCAAUAGCGUAUAUUAACGUUGUUGCAGUUAAAAAGCUCA
RNAcentral lists this ribosomal RNA (616 nucleotides) under Blastocystis sp. RNAcentral's name for it is "SSU rRNA". It matches the Rfam family "Eukaryotic small subunit ribosomal RNA", at positions 1 to 630 of the family's 1831-position model. Lineage: Eukaryota; Bigyra; Opalinata; Blastocystidae. The record is from RNAcentral.